RNAcentral lists this long non-coding RNA (1135 nucleotides) under Physcomitrium patens. RNAcentral describes it as "long non-coding RNA (PPAT_LNC002111)". The record is from RNAcentral. Lineage: Eukaryota; Viridiplantae; Streptophyta; Bryopsida; Funariales; Funariaceae.
AUAUAUAUAUAUAUAUAUAUAUACAUACACAUAUAUAUUUAUUUACUUUGUGAACACGAGAGAGUUACCAUCUCUCCAGUAUCACCCAUUGUACAAUAUUAAAAUUUUCACAACUAGGAUUUGAACCACCAAUCUCACAAUACUACCAGCCUACCCUUCUUACUUACUUUGCUUUGAUAGUUUAAAGUCAUUGUACACAACGAGAAGUAAGAAACAAACCUACACAAAAUAAUCUUUUCUCUAUGAGGGAAGGGGACAUGGAAAAUAAGGAACAUCCUUCACCCUGUUUGUGAAGGAUCGUCAAACAAUCCCAGAAUCGAGACGAGAUCUCAUCUACUUACACCCGAACUCCAGCUUUUUCCACAGCAAUCGCGGGCACAAUUACUACAACAAUUAUAAUAAUCCCUCAGUCAUUAGUGUAAUCCUCGGAGGAUUCACUAAACCUCCUAAUCGGAGAUCUGCGAGGAAUAAAAAACAAGGCCCCAAGAUCCCAGUCCGCAGCACAGACUAUCUCCUCGUCACCUGCAAAUCAGGAUUCCGGGGCUGCAAAACUUCCAGUCCAGAGAAGAGCAAAUCUGUCGCGGUUCCCAAGUGGCGAAAAGCGAGGUUUAAAGGCUAGAAAACGUCACAAUAGCAAGAGUCCAGUUGGGAUUAUGAUCUAGGACUUAAGGGCUGCUCCUGCUGCUGCAAGGGUCUGGAAGCCUGGAGCCUGGAGCCUGUGUUUCUUCAAAACGGUUACGGUGUAAGCCACUGGCAGUGAGCUCCGCCAUGCCUGUGUGUGUGUGUGUGUGUGUGAGAGAGAGAGAGAGAGAGAGAUACACAUUAAACUUGGAUGCCUAUGCAUGUGAUUAAUCUAAGCUAGAUUAACUAGCAGAGAGUUCUGCCCAGCUGGGUACACUGGAGAGAGAUUACUGCAGCUGCUUAAGGACGGUGCACCUACUAAUACCCCUUCUGAUUCAAAACGCUCACAUGCCCAAAAGGCGGCUGCAGGGAUAAUACUCCCUCAUUAAAACACAUUCAUUCCUCGACUGCUGCGUUGCCACAGCGUGAUGAAGAGUUACGAUUGCAUUUAUGAUGAACUGGGCAGUGAUUGCAUCCCCCUGUUGCGAAUGGAAUCUAGCAGCUUUUGGGUUGG